Equus caballus (horse) is the source of this 2646-nucleotide long non-coding RNA. Lineage: Eukaryota; Metazoa; Chordata; Mammalia; Perissodactyla; Equidae. The record is from Ensembl.
GUGAGUUUGUGUUUCAGGAUAGUCCCCUAACUCUCCAAGGCAUUUGCAACUGCAUGAGUUUUCUUGAAGAACAAAAACCUACUUUUUAUGUUGAUGCAGGAACAGCCUUACCAAGGGUGCACGCCCUGGCUGAACCCCUGGAAUGAGGAGCUUCAGCGCCCAGGCACUUCCAGCCUUGUGCUGCACGCAGGCCCAGCAGGAAAGGCUCCAAGGCAGAGAGUGGCAGGUUCAUACAAUAGAAGUGUCAAUGAGGAAGAUUUAUCAUUUUCUCUCUGUUGGACGAACCGUGACCCUACAUGAUGAUCACUUCACAAAGAGAUCAAGUUAAACACUGCAUACUAUGUGUCCUUCACCGCUCAGAGCAUGGAAAAUGUGUGGCUUGGUAUAUAAAUUAAGGUAACCCUAAGUGCUGUUAAUGACUCUAAAAUUUCUGAGGCUUGACACAAGAGAAGUUUAUUUCUUGCCCAGGCACAGUCUAAUUGGCUAUGGGAAUAGGACUACUCUGCUCCACACAGUUAUUCAGGUACCUAGGCUGAGAGAGGUUCUGCUGUGUUCAACAUGUAACUUCCCAAGUCAUCCUGGAUGUCGCCAUCCCACUGGAAGGUGGAGGAAGAGGGAGAAUGGUGAGUCAUCCCUGGGGAGCUUUUAUGGGCCAAGCCAGGAAGUGAUGCCCAUGAUCCCUCCCAUGUCAUUGGCUAGAGCUCAGUCACAUAGUCACACCUAACUGCAAGGAAGGCUGGGUAAUGUAGCCCAACUGUGGGCCCAGGAAGAAGAGGGAAUGGGUUCUGGCAACCACAAAGCAGUCUUGGCCACCAGAGGAAAUUUUGUAUGAAACUGGAAAUCAGUGAUGCUAAAGAGACUUGAUGCUAGUGAGAGGGAAGCUAAUAUUGAAUGCCAUAUUCAGAGCAAAUACAAACUUGAUUAUUUAUAAGGUCAUACAGAACUACCUACCUAUCCCUGAUGUGGUGGAAAAUGCAUUGAUCUUGAAGACACGAAAGAUGCCCGCCAGCUCUGGGCCCAUGGCAAAUCAGUCCUCUGAACAUUACGUGCCUCCUCAGCCAAAUAGAGGAGCUGGAGCAGCUUCAGGAGUCUGCGAGUUCACAUACAGCGUCUAAGGACACGAGAGGACAGCAGUCGGACCAGGAAGGGACCCUCUCGUGACCACCACAUUCUCAUCACAAAAGAUUUUGAUCAUCAGUCAGACCUGGGAGAAUGGUGACCUUGAUCCUCACGAUCUACUGUGUGAGAAAGGCUAUGGAAACCUCUGUGAUAUUCAGCAAUGCUCAUGCCAGGAUACUCAAAGAUGAGUGACACAGAUGGUUCACUUGGGGGGAGACAGACAGGUAGACAGAAUUCAAAGUCAACACGAUAGGAGUUACGAAGGUGUUAUGCAUAGAAACUAACCUGGAGGGGGUCCAAGAAGGCUCCCUAGAGAAUGGGGCUUUCUCUAGGAGGCUGAAUCAUGAAGGCAUUAGUUGAGUGAGGUGUGCUUUCAGAGAAGAAGAAAGAAUGGCAGGGGGAGGUGUUCUAGGAAAAGAGCACAGCAUGAGGAAAGCUUGGAGCAUUGAAGAGCACAGUGUAUUUGAAGAGCUAGGGGAAUUUGGUGUUGCCAAAGGAUAAAGCGAGCGGAGAGGAGUUGGUGAAGUAGACAAGGGCCAUAAAGAGCCUCAUAACUCAUGUUAGGAAUCCAUCUUGUAUUCCACAGGCAAUGGAAGUCACCGAAUGGAUUUUUUUUCAGGAGUAACACGCCUGGAAUACAGCCACCUCUGUUCUACUACUGACCAAACUUGAGCCAUCUUUCUGGGCCCAGGUGAAAUUCACCUAUCUAUCACUCAGAGAAUAGUCAGUGUGCACCAUCCACAUACGCUGUGCUGGGCAGUAGGUACACGGAUGACUCAGGCCUGGUCCUGGCCCUCAGAGAGCUGGCUGUCCACUGGAAAAGGAGACAACACCACACGAGGCUGGUGAGUCUUUCUAUCGUAAGAUGGGGUGGAAGAAACAUAGCUGUGACUCAUCCCAUGCUGAAAAUGUGAAGAUUCCAAGACAAGAAGAGGCUGUGGGAAGCCCCAUAGCACAGCAAGAAAAGACAGGCCAAAACUUUGGGAGUGAGAAGAGAGGAGAGCCUGCUGCCCGGAAGAGAGAAAAGAGGGUAUAUAUUGAGAGAGAGUGAAGGGGAUCCACAUAGUACACUUUUGAUCACUCAAGGAGCAUUCACAGGGGGAUACCCUUAGAAGCAGUAGGGCUCCACACCUGCAUAUAGGGCAAGAAGAACAAUGAGGCAGAGACUGCAUCUGACUUCCCACCCCUCACCACAACUCUCUGAAGUCUAACACUGAGAACUUCCUUCAAGUUGUGGGUAUGUGUCCCCUUGGACCAACCACCCACAUCGUGAUAACUAGGUUAUACCUAAGACAUUUUUAGUGAGGACUUUAGGAAGCCCUGGGAAGGUAUCUCUUUUGUUAAGAGAGGAAUCCAGAGAGAUUUGGCAGAUGUGCUGUAAUGAAGUACAUGCACUGAGCAGAUGCUCCAAGGUCACCUACUUGUCCUGCAGAGUCAUAUGGCUCUAUUUUGGGUUUAGAAGGUGGAAACAUUAAUAUCAUGUCAUUUGUAUCUACUGUUAUGUAACAAAUUAAAAAAUGGGACCGA